GAAGACUUAUUACAAAAUAAAAGAAUAAUUAUAAAACGAACUAAGGAUCGUCGGCGCCAAUGUCGACUGAGAAACGCCACCUAGAUCAGAUCGAACUCCUCAGUGUUAGGCGGCUCCUCUUCGACCACCUGCUCUUCUCCUGUGGGGGGGGGGGGUGUGAGACAGCAAGAGUGAGCUCACAUACGUUCAUAGCUCAACAAGUCGUGGGGAAUAAUGUGGCAUGAACUCACCAAAGGUGGGAGUUCAUGUAGUGUAAGGCUAAUCAAUGGAAUAAAGGCUGAGGCUGAGCAUUGCUUUUAUAAGUUGGUCAAAAUUUUAUUAGCAAUUACUAAGUGUAAGUAAAUACCAAACCUUAAUAAUAAUAAAGAAAAGUAAUAGUAAAAUAAUCCCAAAUGCGAUGCAAAUGUCAAAUUAAAUUUAAGUUCCAUAUUUAAUCAUGUGAGGGUCCGAGCCGCUCAUGACCGUGAGCACGGCUAGUAUACUAGUUUUACACUCUGCAGAGGUUGCGCAUCUUUACCCACAAGUCGUGUAUCCCAUGUCGCCUGGGUUUGCAAGGCCCUUAGACACUACCGAGGUGAAUGGCUAGGGAUCCACUACGAGGCCUUUACAAAGUUCCACUAGCUUCCGAAAACCCGCUACAGUUUAUAGGAAGAUCCAGUACAGGGUUCCUGGCUGACAGCCAUCGCAGCAAAAUCAACCAGGGACCUCCCCGCACUGACCUCUCCCCUACUGCCCUUGCCCCUUUCGGGUAAGGUAGUCUUCCACUAGCUUUCCUAAUUAGUCAGCCAAGGGCGUCCCAUUAUACCCUUGUGGUAGCACUGUUUUCCCGGGUGGUCGCUCCAUGUUCCCAUUAAUUUAAUGAUCUUAACAUGAACAAUAAUAAUAACAAGUUAAUAACAGAAUAAUCAUGAAUAGUGUAUCUCCAUACCCAAUCCACAUAAAGCAAUAGCAAGUACUACCCAAAAAUAUUUCAGGGGUGAACAAGGUAUAGAGGUAAUCAAAACUGGGGUAACAUAAAGGCUCCCAUCAAAAUUAUCCUAUGCAGAUCAUUAAAAUUAAUAAGAACAUGGCUGGGAAAGUAAGUGAUCAAGGGCACAACUUGCCUGGCACUUGAGAUUCCAGUUACCAGGGUGAUUCUUCAGAUCCUCGAAACCUCACGCUAGUCGUAGCAAUACAAACAAACAUGGUAUAGACAAAAUUAACAUCACACCAAACAUAAGAACAAACUGAAUAAUAAUGAUCUACGUGUCGCUACGAGAUCGUGGGAACGAGAACCACUAAGAUCGGAGUUAUGGUUAUUAAGUUAUGAUUUUCUGAAGUUAUUUAAUGCCUAGAAUAGAGUUAUUCAUGUGAAUAAUUUUAAAUCAAGUUUCAUGGUUAGGCAAAGAUACGAGAUGAUAAACAAUAUUUAAACAAAAUAAAUGUCACUGGAAUGAAUCAAUUUGGAGUUAUAUAUUUUAAGUUAUGAAUUUCUGAAGGUUUUAUGUGUUUUAUGAAAGAUUAAAUAGGAUAUAAAUUUUAAUAUGACUUUCAUGUAAAAAAAACAGUGGUACCAAUUGAUAAACAAUAAUUUUAUAAAAUUAUAGAAACUGAAAUGAUUUGAUUUGGAGCUAGAAUGAAUUUUCUAUGAAUUAAAUAAAUUUCUAGAAUGAUUUCAACACUAAAAAUCAUUUUCUAAACAAAUUCUUUGGUUUUAAUAAGUGUCUGGUCUGCACUCCAAAUAAACAGAAGCACAGGGUCUAACUCGUAAGAUUCCAUAGACUCAGUCCACAGCUACGGUGGACGGCGGGUUGUUUACCAACAAGCUUAGGGACUCUUUAAGACAAUGUGCUGCGAAGGGGUAUCGGUGGAGAUGAGUCGUUGGAUUAGAUCUGUACGGUCCACAACAGAUCAAGGGAAGGUUGGACUGGUAUUAGAUCUAAGCCGCAGGAUCAAGAUCAACGGCUAGGAUCCUAUAAUACCGGGAUUCAUUCACAUACCUCGGAUUAUAAACUUACGACCGAGAUCUUGUUGAAUGAAGAGGUACGCAGAAUCUAAUCCACUCUUUCCGCCGAGAGAUCUACGGUCCACGCCCCAACUCUUCGGAUCAAAUCUCAACCAUUGCCAUCAAGACCAACGGUCGAGUGCCUGUCUUCUACCUACCGACGGCUAAACACAGCGGCGUGGCCCCGCCCGGUGGUGCCCCUCGCUGGUGAGCCAUACCAGGCGCCCCGAUGCUCCAAAGUCCAACCCGUACGAACAACACAUGAAUAUGAAUAGCGCGAAUGCAAGAGAGGCUUCAUUACCUCGAUUAACACGACGUUGCCCGUACCCGCCGAGCACAGAGGUGGUCGGUAUUUGGUGAAGAAUUUCGGCUUCAACGGUGGUCAAUCCUUCCUUCCCCGGCCACGAGCACCUCCCAAGAAACACAAAGAAUCUCCUAAACCCACAGUGGACUCCAGGACGCCGGUUGGGAAUGAGGUCGGUGCUGGCGGGCAUUUUCUGCUCCUAAUCCUCUCCCCUCGAUUUCCGACGUGUAUGCACUCUCCUCAUGAACUGGCGAGACCUGUGAUGGUGCGUCACCAGGUCUUCGGCGGUAGGGACACUACUGGUGAUUCCAGGAAGGGACCGAUGAUGCCCACCAUUAUAGCCGCGAGGGAGGGUGGACGGGAGGGCGACGGAAUCGGAUCUCGCCCGGUUUCUCGCGGCGGCUGGUACUCGUAUUUAUA
Molecule: long non-coding RNA, 2708 nt
Filed under: Zea mays
Lineage: Eukaryota; Viridiplantae; Streptophyta; Magnoliopsida; Poales; Poaceae
Description: long non-coding RNA (ZMAY_LNC000367)
Source: RNAcentral